AGGAGCGCCUCAUUUCUAAAGCAGAAGAAGUUCACUCGCUGGUUUGGUUUUGGGCAGUGAGUUGAACGCGAGGCAGACCGACUUGUGCGGAAGAAGUCGCUUAUUUUUGCGGUUUUUGAUCCCCAAAUACCCGACAGACGAGGCAAAUCCAUUUUAAUUACACACUCGUGUGUGUGCGCUCGGACUUUUACAAACAGGUAGGCUCUAUCGUAGCCGAGAUAUAAAGUGUUUUGAGAAAGGCUGCUAGGCCUCACAGGUUAAUCACCAUGAGUUACGGUAGGCCUCCGCCAGACGUCGACGGCAUGACUUCCCUCAAAGUGGACAACUUAACGUACCGAACUUCGCCCGAAACCCUCAGACGCGUGUUCGAAAAGUAUGGCCGUGUAGGGGACGUGUAUAUUCCCCGAGACCGUUACACGAAAGAAAGUCGGGGUUUCGCUUUUGUGCGGUUCCACGACAAACGUGACGCCGAGGACGCAAUGGACGCCAUGGAUGGCGCGCUCCUGGAUGGACGGGAGUUGCGAGUCCAGAUGGCCCGCUACGGCAGACCCCCCGAUUCUCACUACGGCGGUAGUGGUGGUGGUGGCGGCGGUGGAGGCGGCGGCGGAGGAGGUGGAGGAGGCCGGCGCGGAGGGCAGACCAGGAGGUACGGCGGCCAUGGACGCAGAAGCAGAAGCUCUUCCCCCAGCCCGAGACACAGAAGACGCAGCAGGUCCCGCAGCAGGAGCCGCUCUCGUUCCCGAAGCCGAUCCCGCUACAGCAGAUCCAGGUCCCGCUCCUACUCCCGAUCCAAGUCUCACUCUCCCAGGAACAAGAAGGCCAAGUCCCCGUCUCGUUCCAGAUCUAGAUCCAGGUCCCGCUCCAAGUCUAAGUCUAAGUCCAAGUCCAAGUCCAGGUCCAGAAGCCCUUCCUACAAAAGAGGUUCCAGGUCGAGAUCUAAAAGCCAGCCCAAGUCAGCAGCAGAAAAUGGAGGCGAAACCCCGUAGAGCUCAGCUUCAGCUGCGGCAUCCUGUUUGCUAAAGUGGAGUUUGAGCUGAGGCAGUAUGAGCAGUUAGAAGGUGUGUGGUGAGCUGCCCACAGGCCGCCUGCUGCUGGUGAGGGUUUCUGUGCAGCAGGGUGGAGGCAGGCAGUGUUGGGGUUUGGUGUUGAGGUACGUCUGUCGGUGUCCGGCAUUGAACAUAAAACUGUCCUCCAGGCCUCGUCCCGGGCCGGGGGACGCUGGUGCUUGAGGGGCACUGAGUUUUCAGGUGAAGACUGAAAGCUUCAAGUCCAAGACUGGCUCCAACGCAAGCAACAGUGUCCUGCUUUAAAAGGCGCAGUUGUGUAGCAGUUGAGUAUUGCUGGUUAGCUGUUAAGGUGGCGUGUUGCUCUGCUGAGUGCUUGGAUGUAUCCAGUAUUCUCCAGAAUGCUCCUGUGACUACCAGUGGUACGGUUGCUACAGUCUCACCCUUUGUAAGAUGAAAUGUUUUUUCCCAUAUGGUUAUGGAUGACAAAUGUAACUUUCAUUAAAGAUUUGGUGUUUUGUCUAAAA
Sander lucioperca (pikeperch) is the source of this 1531-nucleotide RNA transcript. It is a transcript of the gene named serine and arginine rich splicing factor 2b, with no coding region annotated. NCBI's taxonomy places the organism in Eukaryota, Metazoa, Chordata, Actinopteri, Perciformes, Percidae. The transcript has 5 exons. The record is from RefSeq and is a predicted model, not a curated record.